GAUGAACGCUGGCGGCGUGCUUAACACAUGCAAGUCGAACGGAAAGGCCCUGCCUUUGUGGGGUGCUCGAGUGGCGAACGGGUGAGUAACACGUGGGUAACCUGCCCUUUACUUUGGGAUAACUUCAGGAAACUGGGGCUAAUACCGGAUAGGAGCACCUGCUGCAUGGGGGGGGUUGGAGAGUUUGGGCUGUUGGGUAUGGUCUCGGCGCUUAUCAGCGUGGUGGGGGGGUAGUGGCUUACCGAGGUUUUGGCGGGGCGGCGGCCUGAGGGGGUGACGGGCCAUAUGGGCUCUGAGACAGGGCCCAGACUCCUGCGGGGGGCAACAGUGGAGUAUAGUGCACUAUGGGCGGAACUCAUGCACAGCCACGCCGCGUGCGAUAUGGCCGCCUUCGGUGUGUAAACCUCUUUCGCCUGAGACGAAGCGUUAGUGACGGUAAGUGGUAAAGAAGCACCGGCUAACUACGUG
Molecule: ribosomal RNA, 468 nt
Filed under: uncultured bacterium
Lineage: Bacteria
Description: partial 16S ribosomal RNA
Rfam family: Bacterial small subunit ribosomal RNA
Source: RNAcentral